Molecule: ribosomal RNA, 355 nt
Filed under: uncultured Desulfocapsa sp.
Lineage: Bacteria; Pseudomonadati; Thermodesulfobacteriota; Desulfobulbia; Desulfobulbales; Desulfocapsaceae
Description: bacterial SSU rRNA
Rfam family: Bacterial small subunit ribosomal RNA
Source: RNAcentral
ACGAGGGUGACAGGUGGUGCAUGGUUGUCGUCAGCUCGUGUCGUGAGAUGUUGGGUUUAAGUCCCGCAACGAGCGCAACCCUCGACCUUAGUUGCCAGCAUUCAGUUGGGCACUCUAAGGUGACUGCCGGCUAAAAGUCGGAGGAAGUGGGAUGACGUCAAAUCAUCAUGCCCCUUAUGACCAGGGCUACACACGUACUACAAUGGCAGGUACAAAGGGCAGCCACUUAGCGAUAAGGCGCGAAUCCCGUAAAACCUGUCUCAGUCCGGAUUGGAGUCUGCAACUCGACUCCAUGAAGUUGGAAUCGCUAGUAAUCGCAGAUCAGCACGCUGCGGUGAAUACGUUCCCGGGCCUU